Non-coding RNA from Oryza meridionalis, 153 nucleotides. NCBI's taxonomy places the organism in Eukaryota, Viridiplantae, Streptophyta, Magnoliopsida, Poales, Poaceae. The record is from Rfam.
UUUAAGUGCAACCGUAAAUUUCCGUGCUCAACUUUGACCGUCUGUCUUAUUUGAAAAAAAUUUUAUAAUUAGUAUUUUUAUUAUCAUGAGAUGAUAAAACAUGAAUAAGAUGGACGGUCAAAUUUAUACAGGGAAAUCAUGGCUGCACCUAAA